UACGUAGGUGGCAAGCGUUGUCCGGAUUUACUGGGCGUAAAGGGCGUGCAGGCGGUCCGUUAAGUCCAGGGUGAAAGCUCCCGGCUUAACUGGGAGAGGUCCUUGGAUACUGGCGGACUCGAGGGGGGUAGAGGAGAGUGGAAUUCCUGGUGUAGUGGUGAUAUGCGUAGAUAUCAGGAGGAACACCGGUGGCGAAGGCGGCUCUCUGGGCCCUACCUGACGCUGAGACGCGAAAGCGUGGGGAG
Molecule: ribosomal RNA, 245 nt
Filed under: uncultured bacterium
Lineage: Bacteria
Description: partial 16S ribosomal RNA
Rfam family: Bacterial small subunit ribosomal RNA
Source: RNAcentral